UUUUUUUUUUUUUUUUUUUUUUUGCUUUUUAGGGCCACACUUGCUGCAUAUGGAAGUUCCCAGGCUAGGAGGAGUCGAAUUGGAGCUACAGCUGCACAAAAGCCACAGCAACUUACAUCCAAGCAGUGUCUGCGACCUACCCCACAGCUCACAGCUAUGCCUAAUUCUUAACCCACUGAGCGAGGCCAGGGAUCGAACCCACAUCCUCAUGGAUCCUAGUCAGGUUCGUUACCACUGAGCCACGACUAAAACUCCUAGCCAUGCUUCUAAAAUUCCCUUGCCCCCCCACCCCCCCAAAAGAGCCUUGACAAAUCAGAAAUGAUCUGGAGAAAACUAUCACGAGCUUUUUUUUCCUUUAUGUUAAAUGAGGUUUUUUAAAAAAUACCAACAAGCUUCUAGUCAUUUAUGGCUUAGUGAAUGAAACUAUGUGAAGAGAAUUUCUGCAUGAAAUAAAGACCCUGCAAUCUGGUUUAUGCAAAUGAGAUUUUUUUUCCCCAAAAUUUGGCUCAUGGCAAUCCUAAAUUAGGCACAAGAAGACAUGCUUAUAGGAAAUAUUGAAAGGGAAACAUUUCCAAAUUUCUUCAGUUGGUUUCCAACUCAUCCCCCAUAGUUGAACAAAUGUUUAAUUUCUCUUUGAUGUCUUUUUGUGUUAAAGAACUACACGUAGAUUUAAGGGCAAAGAACUAGACAUUCCUAACAGCAAAGCCUCCCACUGUGUGACAAACCCAUAACCCAUUGUUGUGGGGCUCAGACCUUUUAAGGGAAAUGGGCUUAGGAGAUUAUUAACAUUCUGCAAUUUGUGUUCCCCUAGUCCCAACUGAGAGGGCUUGGAGGGUGACCUGACCCGGGGGUAUCCAGUCUUCAUAUUGCACAGCAGAGCUUAAAGCUGGGCAACCAUUAAGGAAACACUACCCAAAUGGUGAAAGUGAUUAACUGAGCCAAUCCAAUUCUCAGGAGUUUAAAUAGAAGAUAAAGGAGAGGAGUUCCUACUGUGGCUCAGCAGAAACGAAUCUGAUUAGUAUCUAAGAGGCCGCAGUUUCAUCCCUGGCCUCGCUCAGUAGGUUAAGGAUCUGGCAUUGCCUUGAGCUGUGGUUGCAUGUGUGGCUCGGAUCUGGUGUUGCUAUGGCUGUGGUGUAGGUCAGCAGCUGUAGUUCUGAUUCAGCUCCUAGCCUGGGAACCUCCAUAUGCCAUGGGUACAGCCCUAAAAGACCAAAAAAAGAAGAAAAAAAAAAAAAGAUAAAGGAGAAAAAUUCAGCGGUUUGUAUAAGUUGAGACAAAAUGACUGGAUAGCUAAGGCACUACAGUGGAACACCAAGGUUCUAUACCUACACACUAUACCUUCAACGACUAAUCAGGCUGCCACUGAGUCACCAGAGAUGCUGUCAGAUUAGUACAUCUGUUGUAUCUUGAAAAUACCCGAUCUCAAUGAAGCUUGGCCACGCGCAGUUAAGACCCCUUAUUUUCAUAAGCAUCCUUAGAAACAACACCAUCAUUAGGAAAACCUUGAUGAGGAGUUGGCACUUUUACCUAAGGAAUCUAAUACAUCUGCCCUUCUACUUAAGAGAGAGUGGUGUACCCUUCUACUUAACAAAGAGUGGUGUAAUGUUAUGUUCCUGCAUGUGUUAGCAUCGUAUUGCUGUCUGGACAGGCGAGGCUCAAAUUUGAGCAUGCAUCAGAAUCACCUCGGGUGGAGCUUGUAAAACCACCACCUGUAGGGCCAGGAUUAAAUCCAGGGUUUCUGAUAGGAGCAAGUUAUAGAUAGGUCUGGAACAUUUCUAGCAAGUUUGCAGGUAAAGUGGGAGCCACUAGUCUGGAAACCAUGUUUGAAGAAUGACUACUCUAUCAAAAAAUGCUUUUACCUGAGCCUCAUCUGCAGGUAUUUGAUUUAAUUGGUUUGAAGUUUGGCCUGAGCAUUGGGAGGCCAACACUUUGGCUCCGUGUGGAAAUCACUCAGUUCUAGUGGGCUGAUUUUAUGUGUCAACUUGGCUAGGUGAUGGUAUUCAGGUUUUGGUCAAAGAUUAUAUGUUGCUGUGAAGGCAUUUUUUAGAUGUGAUUAACAAAUCAAAUAAAUAUAUGUGUUUUAAGGAAGGAGAGCAAGCAGCUGUGACCUACAGCCAUAUCUUUAUUCCUCUGCCAAAUCCUUGCAGAAUCUUCUCUAUAGUCCUCAUGGACUCAACUUCCUUUAAAAGACGAAUAUAGCAUGGACUGUAGUAAUUUGCCACUAGAGUCUGAAAUUAUAUAAUAAAAAUAAGAGACAUAAUUCAGAUAUCAGUAUUUGGCAUUUUGGUUUGUAUCAUUUGCCUUUAAGGCACUUAGGAUGUUUGAAAAUUAUUUGAAUACUGAAGCAUUCUCUCUAUGAUCCUAUGUAUCAUAGUUAGAACGUGGUCCUAGGUUAAAUGAUUAAAAACUGUUAAUAGCCAAGUCUGAAUUAAUUAACUUGUCAGGCAAUUAAAUGUAUAUCAUUGCCUCAAGUUUGUGAUUUAUGAUACACUUCUGGCAAAGUUAAAUUUAAGCAUUAACUGCUCCAGUUCUUCCAUUCUGUCCUUACAGACCAUUUAAUUCUAUGUGAUUGAAGGCAUAAUAUGAGGCAGUAUUUCCAGCAGAUGAAAGGAAACUCAGCACAAUUUAACAGCAUCUAUGUCACUUCCAAAUAGUCCCAAAAAAUUAAAUGGCUAAUGAUUUUCUGAUAUUUGAUAGUGUCUUAGGAUGUUCUUAAACAUUUAUUAUAGGAAUAUUUGGCUCUCAUCUUCUUUAUAUUCUAUAUUGAUUUAUUUUUAAACUUUUUUUUAGUUUUGAAAUUAUAGAUUAUCUCUGCCAUGAAUUUCAUAAAUUCACAUAUUUUUGAGGUUUCUGUUCCAAAACAUCUUGGUAGGAAUAUCAUUGAUUUCUUUUAGAAAGUAUACAGCUCUAAAAUUUGGAUAAUUUAUAGAGAAAUAUUCGGUUUGUUGGAUCUUUACUGUUAGCCAAAACUUCAGUAAAAAUAGACACUUCAGAAAAAGAAACUGCUUUUUUACUUCUAUAUUGUUGGCUUUUGUGCUUCAAAACUUAAAAUAGCUGAUUCUAUGCAAUUAAUAAUUGGGAAAACCUAACAAAAUAUCAGUUCACAGGUAUUGAGUCUCUUAGCAAUGUGUUACCUUUGUCAAAUAUUAUCUCAUUUCAUUUUCCCACCUGGCCUACUUAGCUACCUUUUUUUUCAAUUAUACGAUACAGUGUUAUUAAAAAUAGUCACAUGUUUUACAAUAUAUCCUCAGACCUUAUUUAUCUCAUAGCUGAAGGUUUGUACCCUUUUACCUACCUUUCCCAAUUCUCCCCAUCCCUCACACCCACCCCUCACCCCCUGCCCAGCCCCUGGCAACCACUUUUCCACUUUCUGUUUCUAAAAGUUUGACUUUUUUGGACUCCACAUUUAAGUAGUAAUACUAUGAAGUAUUUGCCUGGCUUAUUUCACUUAAGCAGCUACUUUUAUAAUUACGAAUAACAGAUGAAGAAACUGAGGCUCAAAUAAUUCAAUAACUUGCCUACAGUCCCAUAGCUUAUAAAUAGAAGAAAAAAAUCAAAUGAAGUCUAUUUGACUCCAACCUGCAAAUGCCAACCUAUACUCACUAUUCUUUCUAUUCUUUCUCCAUUCAUCUUUUGUAUGCAAAGUUCUUUCUAUUCAGGAUUCAUUGGAGCUAUUUGGUUCUGAUCGUUUAGGUAUUAUUAUAGUUAUUAUUAUAGUUAGGUAUUAUUAUAAGUUACUUAAGGUGUGUCCUGUAAUUAAAAAUUUUACCUACUUCUAUCUGCAGUACUUAGCCACCUCCAUAAAAAUGGACAGAAAAUUAUUGCUCAGUCAGUUCCAGAAUGUCUUUCUGCUUCAGUUCUGAGGAAUCACUUUGAAGAGUAAGAUAUAACCUGAUAAUUGAUAACAAUGGCUUUUCAUUGUGUCGUUGGGCACAGAAUUGAAUUGUCCUUUUUGUUCCAACUUUAAAAAACCCUUUGUAGCCAUCUCCAUUGUAUGAUGCCCAUAUGUCCAGAAGAGGGCAAUGUUUUACUACAAACUUACAGUGAGACUUCCUCCAGCUUACUCUGGAGAGGGUAAGCAUUUAGAAACCAGGUUUCUUUUUUCUUUUUUAUCUUUUCUUUUUUUUUUUUUUCGCUUUUCCAUUAUUAUAUUUUUAUAUUUAUAUCCAUUCUUUUUAAAAAAUUUUUAUUGGAGUAUAGUUGACUUAUAGUGUUGUAUUGGUUUCAAGUGUACAGCCAAGUGAAUCACUUAUACGUAUAAAUAUACCCAUUCUUUUUUCCCAUCUACUCAAACUAUUGAGUAGAUUUUCCUAUGCUAUACAGUAGGUUCUUAUUAAUCAUCUACUUUAUACAGUAAUGUGUACGUGUUAUUCCCACACUCCCAGUUUCUCCUUCUCUCCCAACAGUUUCACCUAUGACAACCAUAAGACUGGUUCUGAAAUCUGUGAGUUUGAGAAACUGGAUUUCUUAAGGUACAGUUGAAGUGCAAUUUGCCCGAGUGGUUUCAGGGAAAAAUAUUUCUUCUAAAUAUUAUAUGGAGAAGAGAAAAUUUUCCACUACAUUUUUAGAUAAAUUGUUCUUUCAGCUGGAAAUUAAAUAUUCUACAGAAGUACAGAUUGUAGUAGAAUAUUCCAGAACCAGUCCAUACUUAAAUUGUAAGUAUUUAUAAUCCAGAGAAAAGAACAUGGGCUUUUCUCUUAGACAGAUCUGUGUUUGAGUGCUGUCCUUAAUAUUUCUUGGCUUUGUGACUUCAGACAAGUUACCUGGUUUCCAGAGAUCUGAAUUUCCUUGCUUGUAAAAUGUAAAGAGUGGUACCUGUGUGAUAGAGAUAUUGUGAGGAUUAAAUAUGCCAGGUUAAUAGUAAAUGGCAAUUUCUUAUUCAGUAGAAGUAGGGUUGCCUGAUAAAAUACAGGAUACUCUGUUAAAUUUGAAUUUUAGAUAAGCAAAAAAUAGGUGAGUUUUUUUUUGUGUUUUGUUUUGUUUUGUUUGGUAGACCAAACAAAACCCACAGCAUAUGGAGGUUCCCAGGCUAGGGGUUGAAUCAGAGCUGUAGACACUGGCCUAUGCCACAGCCAUAGCAACUUGGGAUCCGAGCUUCGUCUAUAGCCUACACCACAGCUCACGGCAAUGCCGGAUCCUUAACCCACUGAGUGAGGCCAGGGAUCAAACCUCCAUCCUCACGGAUACUGGUCAGAUUCGUUUCUGCUGAGCCAC
RNAcentral lists this long non-coding RNA (5214 nucleotides) under Sus scrofa (pig). RNAcentral's name for it is "lncRNA (ENSSSCG00000060722.1)". The record is from RNAcentral. Lineage: Eukaryota; Metazoa; Chordata; Mammalia; Artiodactyla; Suidae.